GAUGAACGCUGGCGGCGUGCCUAAUACAUGCAAGUCGAGCGAACAGAUAAGGAGCUUGCUCCUUUGACGUUAGCGGCGGACGGGUGAGUAACACGUGGGUAACCUACCUAUAAGACUGGAAUAACUCCGGGAAACCGGGGCUAAUGCCGGAUAACAUUUAGAACCGCAUGGUUCUAAAGUGAAAGAUGGUUUUACUAUCACUUAUAGAUGGACCCGCGCCGUAUUAGCUAGUUGGUAAGGUAACGGCUUACCAAGGCAACGAUACGUAGCCGACCUGAGAGGGUGAUCGGCCACACUGGAACUGAGACACGGUCCAGACUCCUACGGGAGGCAGCAGUAGGGAAUCUUCCGCAAUGGGCGAAAGCCUGACGCAGCAACGCCGCGUGAGUGAUGAAGGUCUUCGGAUCGUAAAACUCUGUUAUUAGGGAAGAACAAAUGUGUAAGUAACUGUGCACGUCUUGACGGUACCUAAUCAGAAAGCCACGGCUAACUACGUG
RNAcentral lists this ribosomal RNA (497 nucleotides) under uncultured bacterium. RNAcentral's name for it is "partial 16S ribosomal RNA". It matches the Rfam family "Bacterial small subunit ribosomal RNA", at positions 28 to 507 of the family's 1533-position model. The record is from RNAcentral.